This 360-nucleotide long non-coding RNA is filed under the name Crocodylus porosus (Australian saltwater crocodile). RNAcentral describes it as "lncRNA (ENSCPRG00005014775.1)". Lineage: Eukaryota; Metazoa; Chordata; Crocodylia; Crocodylidae. The record is from RNAcentral.
UGGCUUUCUAAGGGGCCAAAUCAAACUCUCAGAUCUGAAUGCUUCCAGUCGUGAGAAAGAAACAAAAGAAACCAAAGUGGAGACAUAGAAGGUUUAUGAGGAGCAGGAGCAAAUAAAAGUUAUGAACAGGGCACAUAUGCAACAAUAACAGAUGGAGUUCAAGCUCACUGAGGGAACAUAUGAAAACCUUGGAAUUUAUUGCUCCUAUAUGCAGUGGAAGAUGUUACAAGUUUUAUUACAUUUGCUGUUAACAUAAAAAUUUUUGUACCUUUUAUCAUUUUGGGGGUGCUAUUUAUUGUUGUUAUUUUAUUACCAUUGUGUUUUCCUGAUGGCAUUGGACUCCAGUGAAGCUUUUAUUCC